Molecule: transfer RNA, 90 nt
Filed under: Amborella trichopoda
Lineage: Eukaryota; Viridiplantae; Streptophyta; Magnoliopsida; Amborellales; Amborellaceae
Description: tRNA AMTR_s00394t00274160
Source: RNAcentral
ACUAGUAAUGUACUAGUAAUAAUAGAACUACUAGUACUAUUGGUAUGUACCACUUGUACUACGAGUACGUUCUACUAGUACUACUAGUAC